Molecule: ribosomal RNA, 1645 nt
Filed under: Escherichia coli
Lineage: Bacteria; Pseudomonadati; Pseudomonadota; Gammaproteobacteria; Enterobacterales; Enterobacteriaceae
Description: partial 23S ribosomal RNA
Rfam family: Bacterial large subunit ribosomal RNA
Source: RNAcentral
GCGAAUGCUGACAUAAGUAACGAUAAAGCGGGUGAAAAGCCCGCUCGCCGGAAGACCAAGGGUUCCUGUCCAACGUUAAUCGGGGCAGGGUGAGUCGACCCCUAAGGCGAGGCCGAAAGGCGUAGUCGAUGGGAAACAGGUUAAUAUUCCUGUACUUGGUGUUACUGCGAAGGGGGGACGGAGAAGGCUAUGUUGGCCGGGCGGCGGUUGUCCCGGUUUAAGCGUGUAGGCUGGUUUUCCAGGCAAAUCCGGAAAAUCAAGGCUGAGGCGUGAUGACGAGGCACUACGGUGCUGAAGCAACAAAUGCCCUGCUUCCAGGAAAAGCCUCUAAGCAUCAGGUAACAUCAAAUCGUACCCCAAACCGACACAGGUGGUCAGGUAGAGAAUACCAAGGCGCUUGAGAGAACUCGGGUGAAGGAACUAGGCAAAAUGGUGCCGUAACUUCGGGAGAAGGCACGCUGAUAUGUAGGUGAAGCGACUUGCUCGUGGAGCUGAAAUCAGUCGAAGAUACCAGCUGGCUGCAACUGUUUAUUAAAAACACAGCACUGUGCAAACACGAAAGUGGACGUAUACGGUGUGACGCCUGCCCGGUGCCGGAAGGUUAAUUGAUGGGGUUAGCGCAAGCGAAGCUCUUGAUCGAAGCCCCGGUAAACGGCGGCCGUAACUAUAACGGUCCUAAGGUAGCGAAAUUCCUUGUCGGGUAAGUUCCGACCUGCACGAAUGGCGUAAUGAUGGCCAGGCUGUCUCCACCCGAGACUCAGUGAAAUUGAACUCGCUGUGAAGAUGCAGUGUACCCGCGGCAAGACGGAAAGACCCCGUGAACCUUUACUAUAGCUUGACACUGAACAUUGAGCCUUGAUGUGUAGGAUAGGUGGGAGGCUUAGAAGUGUGGACGCCAGUCUGCAUGGAGCCGACCUUGAAAUACCACCCUUUAAUGUUUGAUGUUCUAACGUUGACCCGUAAUCCGGGUUGCGGACAGUGUCUGGUGGGUAGUUUGACUGGGGCGGUCUCCUCCUAAAGAGUAACGGAGGAGCACGAAGGUUGGCUAAUCCUGGUCGGACAUCAGGAGGUUAGUGCAAUGGCAUAAGCCAGCUUGACUGCGAGCGUGACGGCGCGAGCAGGUGCGAAAGCAGGUCAUAGUGAUCCGGUGGUUCUGAAUGGAAGGGCCAUCGCUCAACGGAUAAAAGGUACUCCGGGGAUAACAGGCUGAUACCGCCCAAGAGUUCAUAUCGACGGCGGUGUUUGGCACCUCGAUGUCGGCUCAUCACAUCCUGGGGCUGAAGUAGGUCCCAAGGGUAUGGCUGUUCGCCAUUUAAAGUGGUACGCGAGCUGGGUUUAGAACGUCGUGAGACAGUUCGGUCCCUAUCUGCCGUGGGCGCUGGAGAACUGAGGGGGGCUGCUCCUAGUACGAGAGGACCGGAGUGGACGCAUCACUGGUGUUCGGGUUGUCAUGCCAAUGGCACUGCCCGGUAGCUAAAUGCGGAAGAGAUAAGUGCUGAAAGCAUCUAAGCACGAAACUUGCCCCGAGAUGAGUUCUCCCUGACUCCUUGAGAGUCCUGAAGGAACGUUGAAGACGACGACGUUGAUAGGCCGGGUGUGUAAGCGCAGCGAUGCGUUGAGCUAACCGGUACUAAUGAACCGUGAG